RNAcentral lists this ribosomal RNA (492 nucleotides) under uncultured bacterium. RNAcentral describes it as "partial 16S ribosomal RNA". It matches the Rfam family "Bacterial small subunit ribosomal RNA", at positions 29 to 507 of the family's 1533-position model. The record is from RNAcentral.
AGUGAACGCUGGCGGUAUGCCUAACACAUGCAAGUCGAACGGCAACACAGUAAGAGCUUGCUCUUACGGGUGGCGAGUGGCGGACGGGUGAGGAAUACAUCGGAAUCUACUUUUUCGUGGGGGACAACGUAGGGAAACUUACGCUAAUACCUCAUACGACCUACGGGUGAAAGCAGGAGAUCUUCGGACCUUGCGCGAUUGAAUGAGCCGAUGCCGGAUUAGCUAGUUGGCGGGGUAAAGGCCCACCAAGGCGACGAUCCGUAGCUGGUCUGAGAGGAUGAUCAGCCACACUGGAACUGAGACACGGUCCAGACUCCUACGGGAGGCAGCAGUGGGGAAUAUUGGACAAUGGGCGCAAGCCUGAUCCAGCCAUACCGCGUGGGUGAAGAAGGCCUUCGGGUUGUAAAGCCCUUUUGUUGGGAAAGAAAAGCAGUAGGUUAAUACCCCGCUGUUCUGACGGUACCCAAAGAAUAAGCACCGGCUAACUUCGUG